GAUGAACGCUAGCUACAGGCUUAACACAUGCGAGUCGAGGGGAAACGGCAUUGAGUGCUUGCACUCUUUGGACGUCGACCGGCGCACGGGUGAGUAACGCGUAUCCAACCUUCCCAUUACUGUGGGAUAACCUGCCGAAAGGCAGACUAAUACCGCAUAGUCUUCGAUGACGGCAUCAGAUUUGAAGUAAAGAUUUAUCGGUAAUGGAUGGGGAUGCGUCUGAUUAGCUUGUUGGCGGGGUAACGGCCCACCAAGGCUACGGUCAGUAGGGGUUCUGAGAGGAAGGUCCCCCACAUUGGAACUGAGACACGGUCCAAACUCCUACGGGAGGCAGCAGUGAGGAAGAUUGGUCAAUGGACGGAAGUCUGAACCAGCCAAGUAGCGUGCAGGAUGACGGCCCUAUGGGUUGUAAACUGCUUUUGUAUGGGGAUAAAGUUAGGGACGUGUCCCUAUUUGCAGGUACCAUACGAAUAAGGACCGGCUAAUUCCGU
RNAcentral lists this ribosomal RNA (491 nucleotides) under uncultured bacterium. RNAcentral's name for it is "partial 16S ribosomal RNA". It matches the Rfam family "Bacterial small subunit ribosomal RNA", at positions 28 to 506 of the family's 1533-position model. The record is from RNAcentral.